GACAUGCCAGGAAUCCUGAAGAGAUUUGGGAGUGCUCGAAAGAGAGCCUGGACACAGGUGCUGCAUGGCNGUCGUCAGCUNGUGUCGUGAGAUGUUGGGUUAAGUCCCGCAACGAGCGCAACCCUUGUCAUUAGUUGCUACGAAAGGGCACUCUAAUGAGACUGCCGGUGACAAACCGGAGGAAGGUGGGGAUGACGUCAGGUCAUCAUGGCCCUUAUGGGUAGGGCUACACACGUCAUACAAUGGCCGGGACAGAGGGCUGCCAACCCUGCGAGGGGGAGCUAANANCAGAAACCCGGUCGUAGUCCGGAUCGUAGUCUGCAACUCGACUGCGUGAAGUCGGAAUCGCUAGUAAUCGCGGAUCAGCUUGCCGCGGUGAAUACGUUCCCGGGUCUUGUACACACCGCCCGUCACACCAUGGGAGCGGGUUCUGCCAGAAGUAGUUAGCCUA
Molecule: ribosomal RNA, 451 nt
Filed under: uncultured bacterium
Lineage: Bacteria
Description: bacterial SSU rRNA
Rfam family: Bacterial small subunit ribosomal RNA
Source: RNAcentral